AGAUUGAACGCUGGCGGCAUGCUUUACACAUGCAAGUCGAACGGUAACAGGCCGCAAGGUGCUGACGAGUGGCGAACGGGUGAGUAAUGCAUCGGAACGUGCCCAGUCGUGGGGGAUAACGCAGCGAAAGCUGUGCUAAUACCGCAUACGAUCUAUGGAUGAAAGCGGGGGACCGAAAGGCCUCGCGCGAUUGGAGCGGCCGAUGUCAGAUUAGCUAGUUGGUGGGGUAAAGGCCCACCAAGGCGACGAUCUGUAGCUGGUCUGAGAGGACGACCAGCCACACUGGAACUGAGACACGGU
RNAcentral lists this ribosomal RNA (300 nucleotides) under uncultured soil bacterium. Its description in RNAcentral is "bacterial SSU rRNA". It matches the Rfam family "Bacterial small subunit ribosomal RNA", at positions 26 to 330 of the family's 1533-position model. The record is from RNAcentral.